Molecule: long non-coding RNA, 582 nt
Filed under: Meriones unguiculatus (Mongolian gerbil)
Lineage: Eukaryota; Metazoa; Chordata; Mammalia; Rodentia; Muridae
Description: lncRNA (ENSMUGG00000025179.1)
Source: RNAcentral
CGAGCCCUCAACACCCCUCACAGAGCAGGACCCACCUGCCUUAACCUGUUGACCCCUCAGCCUCUUAAACCUUCAGUUCUCAAAAGCCACCUUCUGAAGGAGGCAGUGGGGAGAUGCCAGGAUCAGCACAGGCUGAAAGUAUCACGCAGGUCCUCAAAGACAGCCCCGCCCUUCCAACAGCAGACUGAGCUCACGCUGAGUGAUGUGAAAGGAGACGGAGGCACUGACCCCGGGGGCCGAGCACAGUGUGACUGCUUUUUCUUCAGCAACACUUCCUCCCUUCAGGUCCGGGUCCUAAGACACACAGGACCUCCUCCGACAUCUAAGCUAGCUGCAAUGACUGCCUGUGCUAGGGUCUUCAGAGUGACCCUGGUCACUGAGAGAGCGAUGGGAUGGUGGGAACCAAGUGGCAACCGUGUGCCCCGAAAAAAACCACGAUGCGUCCACAACACACACGUGCAGCUUUAAAACACCGAAGAGCAGCGUUUACGGCGUUCAAAGACUCAGAGGAAGACUCCCUGCAAUAAGCUUGUGCUUCUGGGCAUCCUCAACACAAGCGAAACCCUGACAAUGAGAACAGAG